UAUGACUCAUUAAUAUGGUGAUUAUGAUAACAUAAGGGAAAAAAAUGAUAUUACCUUAUUAUUAGUGUUGUCCAAAACUGGUGCCAGAAGACUCGGUAAGACCAGAGACGCAAACGUUAGUCAUCUUAAUCAGGCGUAAAGGGUUUGUAGGCUGCUUUAAAAAUUUAAAUCUUUGUAAUAGCUCUGUUACCGUAAUACUAUAUUUAUUUAUUUGAUUUGAUAAUAAAUAAUAUUGUAUAUAAAAUUUAUUAUAUAAAAUAAUAAAAUGAUAUUAAAGAAAAAUAAAUAUCCGUGUCUCAGUAAAGAAAUAAAUGAAUUAAAGCUAGGAUCAAAUUGAGGAUAAACCAAAUAAUACUUAGAGUAGGGCUUAUAUCCGUAGAUACUAAGGGGAAUACUAAAGGUGAAAACUUUUUAUCUACUAUUGAUUGACGCUGAGAAACGAAGGUGAGAAUAGGAAAUAGGAUUAGAUACCCAGAUACCUCUCACUGUCAACGAUGAAUGGUGGUUUGUUAGUUUUAAUAAAAACUGGUAACGAUGUUAACACGAUAACCAUUCCGCCUUGCGAGUACGGUUGCAAAACUGAAACCAAAAAAAUUAGUCGGUCUCGAAGCAAACGAAGUGAAGCAUGUUA
RNAcentral lists this ribosomal RNA (631 nucleotides) under Tricholoma virgatum. Its description in RNAcentral is "partial small subunit ribosomal RNA". It matches the Rfam family "Bacterial small subunit ribosomal RNA", at positions 426 to 944 of the family's 1533-position model. The record is from RNAcentral. Lineage: Eukaryota; Fungi; Basidiomycota; Agaricomycetes; Agaricales; Tricholomataceae.